GAUGAAGAACGUAGCGAAAUGCGAUAAGUAAUGUGAAUUGCAGAAUUCAGUGAAUCAUCGAAUCUUUGAACGCACCUUGCGCUCCUUGGUAUUCCGAGGAGCAUGCCUGUUUGAGUGUCAUUAAUAUAUCAACCUCUUCAGCUUAUGCUUGUUGAGUGUUGGAUGGUGGGGGUUUGCUGGUGUCUUAUGAAGUCAGCUCCUCUGAAAUGCAUUAGCGGAACAAUUUGUUGACCGUUCAUUGGUGUGAUAAAAAUAUCUACGCUAUUGACGUCAGUCAGUUCAGCUUCUAACAGUCCAUUGACUUGGACAAAUUUUUCAUUAAUGUGACCUCAAAUCAGGUAGGACUACCCGCUGAACUUAAGCAUAUCAAUAAGCUGAGGA
RNAcentral lists this unclassified non-coding RNA (381 nucleotides) under soil metagenome. RNAcentral describes it as "partial contains 5.8S ribosomal RNA, internal transcribed spacer 2, and large subunit ribosomal RNA". The stretch from base 1 to 120 matches the Rfam family "5.8S ribosomal RNA", at positions 35 to 154 of the family's 154-position model. The record is from RNAcentral.